RNAcentral lists this ribosomal RNA (252 nucleotides) under uncultured bacterium. RNAcentral's name for it is "partial 16S ribosomal RNA". It matches the Rfam family "Bacterial small subunit ribosomal RNA", at positions 524 to 776 of the family's 1533-position model. The record is from RNAcentral.
GACGGAGGGUGCAAGCGUUGUUCGGAUUGACUGGGCGUAAAGGGCGUGUAGGCGGUCGGCCAAGUCUGAUGUGAAAGCCCGAGGCUCAGCCUCGGAAGUGCGUCGGAAACUAGUCGGCUGGAGCGCGAUAGAGGAGGGUGGAAUUCCUGGUGUAGCGGUGAAAUGCGAGAGAUGUGGAGGAAUACCGAUGGCGAAGGCAGCCCCCUGGGUCAAUACUGACGCUCAUGCACGAAAGCGUGGGGAGCAAACAGG